Molecule: long non-coding RNA, 310 nt
Organism: Ficedula albicollis (Collared flycatcher)
Lineage: Eukaryota; Metazoa; Chordata; Aves; Passeriformes; Muscicapidae
Exons: 3
Source: RefSeq, a predicted model, not a curated record
GCCUUCAGUUGUGUCCGGUGGAGUUUAAAGGUGGCGAUUCCUGCAAUAAAGGGAUCUUCGGAUGCAUUAGGAGGUCCGUGUCGCGUUGUUCCCCAUUGCUACAGGGUCCUGGGCAUUGGGAAAUAAAUUGUGACUGUGAACCAUUUUUUCAUUGGAGACAGGCCACAGGAAUUCAAGUUUUGGCCGAUUCCCCACUUUCUGCUAGACUUUGCACUGGUGUGAAGUUUCCUCUGUGUUGAGCAUGGCCCCGACGCGCCUGCGGCCCCUGCUGAGGUACCGCUCCUUCGCCAUCCUCUUCCUCACGCCGCGG